GGCAAGGUGGCCGAGUGGUUAUGGCGGCAGUCUGUUAGUGUCUGCCCAAUCAAAAAUCCGUAUAUCCCGUUACUAAUAAUCAUACAGUAAGAUCUGCUAUCGAAAGAUGCGUGGGUUCGAACCCCACCCUUGUCA
This is a transfer RNA of 135 nucleotides. It matches the Rfam family "tRNA". From Rfam's summary of the family: Transfer RNA (tRNA) molecules are approximately 80 nucleotides in length. Their secondary structure includes four short double-helical elements and three loops (D, anti-codon, and T loops). Further hydrogen bonds mediate the characteristic L-shaped molecular structure. tRNAs have two regions of fundamental functional importance: the anti-codon, which is responsible for specific mRNA codon recognition, and the 3' end, to which the tRNAs corresponding amino acid is attached (by aminoacyl-tRNA synthetases). tRNAs cope with the degeneracy of the genetic code in two manners: having more than one tRNA (with a specific anti-codon) for a particular amino acid; and 'wobble' base-pairing, i.e. permitting non-standard base-pairing at the 3rd anti-codon position. The record is from Rfam.